RNAcentral lists this small RNA (551 nucleotides) under Histoplasma capsulatum. Its description in RNAcentral is "hypothetical RNA". Lineage: Eukaryota; Fungi; Ascomycota; Eurotiomycetes; Onygenales; Ajellomycetaceae. RNAcentral also lists the same sequence under 1 other name. The record is from RNAcentral.
GCAAGAUCUCUAUAUAUGUGCUAUUUUAGGUAUCCGACAGUGGUAAUGCUAGCUGGUUGGUAGGCACCUGACGGAGUUUAUCCAGCCUCGAUGCCUACGAGCACCCGAGGUUUCACUGGAGGCAAAAUGGGAUGCGGGUACCGACAUAUGGAAUGCGGGAUGUGUUGUGGAUAUUUAAGAAUCCAAUCCACUAAACACAUUUUAGUUAUAACAGGCUCUACUCUAUGAGGUUUUCGCAGGAAAGUAUCUGUUUGAUAGCCGUCCAAGUGCAGCGGGAUCUUAUGUCCCUGGAUAUCAUUUGUCCCAAAUGAUUACCAGAGACCUACUCAAUAGAGGCCAAGCAUCCGGCAAAUACUUUGACUCGGAAGGCAAUAGCUGCACAAUCACUGUUUCAGCAGAAUUUACCUGAUAAAAAUUGUGAUAGGUAACCUUAAGGGCAUCCCUAGAAUGUCCGGAUACUCAUUGGGUGGGUUCAUUGAAAACAAGAGCUUUUACUCCAUUCAGGAGAAGGAAGAUUUUGUCCAGUUCCUCCAAUCUAUGCUUGCUCUUGC